AUUGAACGCUGGCGGAAUGCUUUACACAUGCAAGUCGAACGGCAGCACGGACUUCGGUCUGGUGGCGAGUGGCGAACGGGUGAGUAAUGUAUCGGAACGUGCCCAGUCGUGGGGGAUAACGUAGUGAAAAUUACGCUAAUACCGCAUACGAUCUAUGGAUGAAAGCGGGGGAUCGCAAGACCUCGCGCGAUUGGAGCGGCCGAUAUCAGAUUAGGUAUUUGGUGGGGUAAAGGCCCACCCAGCCAACGAUCUGUAGCUGGUCUGAGGGGACGACCAGCCACACUGGAACUGAGACACGGUCCAGACUCCUACGGGAGGCAGCAGUGGGGAAUUUUGGACAAUGGGCGAAAGCCUGAUCCAGCCAUUCCGCGUGCAGGAUGAAGGCCCUCGGGUUGUAAACUGCUUUUGUACAGAACGAAAAGGUUUCUACUAAUACUAGGAGCUCAUGACGGUACUGUAAGAAUAAGCACCGGCUAACUACGUGCCAGCCGCCGCAGUAA
RNAcentral lists this ribosomal RNA (500 nucleotides) under uncultured bacterium. RNAcentral describes it as "partial 16S ribosomal RNA". It matches the Rfam family "Bacterial small subunit ribosomal RNA", at positions 30 to 523 of the family's 1533-position model. The record is from RNAcentral.